UGGGGAAUAUUGGUCAAUGGGCGAGAGCCUGAACCAGCCAAAUCGCGUGAAGGAAGACUGCCUUAUGGGUUGUAAACUUCUUUUAUACAGGAAUAAAAAACGGGGACGUGUCCCUUAUUGCAUGUACUGUAUGAAUAAGCAUCGGCUAACUCCGUGCCAGCAGCCGCGGUAAUACGGAGGAUGCGAGCGUUAUCCGGAUUUAUUGGGUUUAAAGGGGUGCGCAGGCGGGCUUUUAAGUCAGCGGUGAAAUCUCGGGGCUUAACUCCGAAACUGCCGUUGAAACUGGGAGUCUUGAGUAUGGAUGAAGUAGGCGGAAUUCGUUGUGUAGCGGUGACAUGCUUAGAUAUAACGAGGAACUCCGAUUGCGUAGGCAGCUUACUAAGCCAUAACUGACGCUCAAGCACGAAAGCGUGGGGAUCAAACAGGAUUAGAUACCCUGGUAGUCCACGCCGUAAACGAUGAUUACUAGUUGUAUGCGAUAUACCGUAUGUGACUAAGCGAAAGCGAUAAGUAAUCCACCUGGGGAGUACGCCGGCAACGGUG
Molecule: ribosomal RNA, 543 nt
Filed under: uncultured bacterium
Lineage: Bacteria
Description: partial 16S ribosomal RNA
Rfam family: Bacterial small subunit ribosomal RNA
Source: RNAcentral